Molecule: non-coding RNA, 2678 nt
Organism: Coffea arabica (coffee)
Lineage: Eukaryota; Viridiplantae; Streptophyta; Magnoliopsida; Gentianales; Rubiaceae
Source: RefSeq, a predicted model, not a curated record
AAAAACAAGAAAAUUCUGCGCCUCAAAAAUUUCUUUCCAAAGAUCUCGUAAACCUUAAAAACAUCAAGAAAUCUUGUUCUUCUUUCUCUCUUGAAAGAAAGAUGAUGAGCCGUGGUGCAACAAGGGUUGCCCGGUCGGUGAUCGGCCACAUGGGGCCGCGUUAUUUUUCCGGUGCAGCCAUGGGUCCGCACGACACCAGCUUGGGGAAACUUUUUGCAUGUGGAGCCACGGGUUUCUUGCAUGGCAAUCCAGCUAAGCCGUCGGAGAACGUGAUGGUGGCGUGGUUUGGGUAUGGAGGAAUUGGUUCACGCCAGGCGAGCACGUUGGCUUUGGGUGAUAAGAAGGUGGAGGAUGAGGAGGAGGUGAAGGCGGUGAAAAGUGGUGCAGCUGGUGGUGCCACGGCCGCGGCGGGUGACGGUGGAAAUGGGAAUAAGGAGGUUGUGAGUUAUUGGGGUGUUGAGCCGCCUAAAGUUACCAAAGAAGAUGGUUCUGAGUGGAGCUGGAAUUGCUUUAGGCCCUGGGAGACCUACAAGGCAGACCUGACAAUAGAUCUGGAGAAAAAACAUGUGCCAGUGACAUUCUUGGACAAGUUUGCACUUUGGACCGUCAAGACCCUUAGGUGGCCCACCGAUUUAUUCUUUCAGAGGAGGUAUGGAUGUCGAGCAAUGAUGUUGGAAACUGUGGCAGCAGUCCCCGGCAUGGUUGGAGGGAUGCUGCUUCACUGCAAGUCAUUGAGGCGAUUUGAACAUAGUGGAGGCUGGAUCAAGGCUUUACUUGAAGAAGCCGAGAAUGAAAGGAUGCACCUCAUGACCUUCAUGGAGGUUUCAAAACCAAGAUGGUACGAACGUGCACUCGUUUUCGCGGUCCAGGGAGUUUUCUUCAACGCAUACUUUUUAACAUACAUUCUCUCACCCAAAUUGGCUCAUCGCAUCGUGGGGUACUUGGAAGAGGAAGCAAUUCAUUCCUAUACUGAAUUCCUCAAGGAAUUGGAUAAGGGCACCAUUGAAAAUGUUCCUGCUCCUGCUAUUGCUAUUGAUUACUGGCGCAUGCCUCCUGAUUCGACUUUGCGCGAUGUUGUUAUGGUUGUCAGGGCUGAUGAGGCUCAUCACCGCGAUGUUAACCACUUUGCAUCGGACAUUCAUUAUCAAGGACAUGAGCUGAGGAAGGCUCCAGCACCACUUGGUUAUCACUGAAGGAAGCGCAGGUCUGGUGAUGAUACACAAGCAGAUGGUGUUUAUCUUCUGGCAUAAAAGGCUGAGAAAUAAUGAUAUUAUACUGAACUACAAUCCUGACUUAGUUUUCUAGAUGUAUAUAUUACAAUACAGCACGAGCCAGAGUCUGAGUUGUUUGAUAACUUCUUUUCCCGGUUGGAUUUAAGAUUUUUGGGCAGUAAAGUUGUUAUAAAAAGGUGAUGCCCUGCUUACAAUUUCAAAAUGUUUGGAAAACUACAGAGGCUCAGUAUGUUUCCAAACAAUUAACAUCAAUUACUGCUUCUUCCGCCGAUAAUUGUAUCUGGUAAGAGAACUGGAAGGAAGCUUGCUUGCAAUAUAUGUCACAAGUAUUGAAAGAAUCAGAGCAUUUGGAAAUAUUCAUAGACCAAAUGUUUGAGCCGUUAAUUACCUGGAGCAUUCCCAGGUGUACUUCACUUUUCCAAGGCACAGAAGUUUUGCAAAAUUGGCAGACUUUUUCCACAUGGAAGAUUCUUGAAUUUGAGGUUGUUUGACCAAUUUGAGCACGUUAUAUGGAAUUUCAAUAGGAUUAUCAUAAAAAAAAAUGUUGCAAAGAACUUUUCAAGCUUCCUGAUAAGUUCUGAGGGGAGACAAAGUUGACUGGACAGAAUAGUUCUGUCUUAACAUCUAUCAGAUGACUCGUUUCUAUUAACCUGAGCCUAAAGCAUGAGGAGCUUUGCCAUACUACUAGCUAAUAGUUUUAUAGAAACUAUUAGUAAUUACUAAUGUCAGGGACAGGGAAAGGGUUGCAUGACACACUUUGACAUAUUGGAAUCUUGCUUGUUGAUAAAGAUCAGGGGCUUGAUCAAGUCAUGCAGGCUGGUUUUUUUGCAAUAUAUCAAGGGAAGUGAAAGGAUGUUAUAACAUCCUGUCUUGGCAUAUGUGAAUCUUGUUUGGUGAUACAUAUUAGGAGCUUGAUUUCUGGGCUUUUAUAGGCAACUGAGCUUGUGCCUGGAGGAGAGAAAACAGGGUACACCAUGCAGGAACAAAAGUGUAUAUGGGAGCAAUUAUAUUCUAGAUUUUGAUCAUUAUAUUAGGCAGCAAGUCCAUAGCAGGGGAACAGUUUUAACAUAUGAAGACAUGAGAGGUUGAAUUUCCAAAGGAAGAGGAACAGUUGGCAGGAAAAUACCCAAAGCAGUAGCCCCUAAUUCAGUUGACUGUUCCCAAAAUGAAGAAGCAAUGGCUUGAGCUGAAAAGGAGAAACAGAAAAUGAUGUUGGCUGGCUGUUUCUCAAAUUUGCGGUUGGUGUAAGAUCAAAUAAUUGGCUUAUAUUCUGACCUCGUGAGGCAGAGUCAAGGCUGAAAAGUUAUAGCCUUCUAGUCCAAGAAUUGGCCGAGAGAUCGGCCUGGCUGAAGCCCAGAGAAGUGAAUACAAAUUUGACCGUGGUUAUUAAACUCGGGCGACAAGGAACGUGGCACAGAGAUAAGGUCAACGACGUCACUGGUUGGG